RNAcentral lists this ribosomal RNA (301 nucleotides) under uncultured bacterium. RNAcentral's name for it is "partial 16S ribosomal RNA". It matches the Rfam family "Bacterial small subunit ribosomal RNA", at positions 509 to 807 of the family's 1533-position model. The record is from RNAcentral.
CAGCCGCCGCGGGAAUACGGAGGGCGCGAGCGUUACCCGGAUUUACUGGGCGUAAAGGGCGUGUAGGCGGCCUGGGGCGUCCCAUGUGAAAGGCCACGGCUCAACCGUGGAGGAGCGUGGGAUACGCUCAGGCUAGAGGGUGGGAGAGGGUUGUGGAAUUCCCAGUGUAGAGGUGAAAUUCGUAGAUACCGGGAGGAACGCCGAUGGCGAAGGCAGCCACCUGGUCCACUUCUGACGCUGAGGCGCGAAAGCGUGGGGAGCAAACCGGAUUAGAUACCCCCGUAGUCCCUGUCUCUUAUAC